RNAcentral lists this ribosomal RNA (1092 nucleotides) under Bacillus safensis. RNAcentral's name for it is "bacterial SSU rRNA". It matches the Rfam family "Bacterial small subunit ribosomal RNA", at positions 21 to 1095 of the family's 1533-position model. Lineage: Bacteria; Bacillati; Bacillota; Bacilli; Caryophanales; Bacillaceae. The record is from RNAcentral.
GGCUCAGGACGAACGCUGGCGGCGUGCCUAAUACAUGCAAGUCGAGCGAACAGAAGGGAGCUUGCUCCCGGAUGUUAGCGGCGGACGGGUGAGUAACACGUGGGUAACCUGCCUGUAAGACUGGGAUAACUCCGGGAAACCGGAGCUAAUACCGGAUAGUUCCUUGAACCGCAUGGUUCAAGGAUGAAAGACGGUUUCGGCUGUCACUUACAGAUGGACCCGCGGCGCAUUAGCUAGUUGGUGGGGUAAUGGCUCACCAAGGCGACGAUGCGUAGCCGACCUGAGAGGGUGAUCGGCCACACUGGGACUGAGACACGGCCCAGACUCCUACGGGAGGCAGCAGUAGGGAAUCUUCCGCAAUGGACGAAAGUCUGACGGAGCAACGCCGCGUGAGUGAUGAAGGUUUUCGGAUCGUAAAGCUCUGUUGUUAGGGAAGAACAAGUGCGAGAGUAACUGCUCGCACCUUGACGGUACCUAACCAGAAAGCCACGGCUAACUACGUGCCAGCAGCCGCGGUAAUACGUAGGUGGCAAGCGUUGUCCGGAAUUAUUGGGCGUAAAGGGCUCGCAGGCGGUUUCUUAAGUCUGAUGUGAAAGCCCCCGGCUCAACCGGGGAGGGUCAUUGGAAACUGGGAAACUUGAGUGCAGAAGAGGAGAGUGGAAUUCCACGUGUAGCGGUGAAAUGCGUAGAGAUGUGGAGGAACACCAGUGGCGAAGGCGACUCUCUGGUCUGUAACUGACGCUGAGGAGCGAAAGCGUGGGGAGCGAACAGGAUUAGAUACCCUGGUAGUCCACGCCGUAAACGAUGAGUGCUAAGUGUUAGGGGGUUUCCGCCCCUUAGUGCUGCAGCUAACGCAUUAAGCACUCCGCCUGGGGAGUACGGUCGCAAGACUGAAACUCAAAGGAAUUGACGGGGGCCCGCACAAGCGGUGGAGCAUGUGGUUUAAUUCGAAGCAACGCGAAGAACCUUACCAGGUCUUGACAUCCUCUGACAACCCUAGAGAUAGGGCUUUCCCUUCGGGGACAGAGUGACAGGUGGUGCAUGGUUGUCGUCAGCUCGUGUCGUGAGAUGUUGGGUUAAGUCCCGCAACGA